CCAGCCCGCUCAGAAACUAAAGGAAUUGACGGGGGCCCGCACAAGCGGUGGAGCAUGUGGUUUAAUUCGAUGAUACGCGAGGAACCUUACCUGGGCUCAAAUGUAUGUUGACGUAUUCUGAAAGGGAUACUUCUUCGGACAAUAUACAAGGUGCUGCAUGGUUGUCGUCAGCUCGUGCCGUGAGGUGUCGGGUUAAGUCCCAUAACGAGCGCAACCCCUAUCAUUAGUUGCCAUCAGGUCAAGCUGGGGACUCUAAUGAAACUGCCUACGCAAGUAGUGAGGAAGGUGGGGAUGACGUCAAAUCAGCACGGCCCUUAUGUCCAGGGCGACACACGUGCUACAAUGGCCGGCACAGCGGGAAGCGGAGGGGCGACCCUGAGCGGAUCCCUUGAAAGCCGGUCCCAGUUCGGAUUGCAGUCUGCAACUCGACUGCAUGAAGUUGGAAUCGCUAGUAAUCGCGGAUCAGCCAAGCCGCGGUGAAUACGUUCCCGGGCCUU
This 497-nucleotide ribosomal RNA is filed under the name uncultured Sphingobacteriales bacterium. RNAcentral's name for it is "bacterial SSU rRNA". It matches the Rfam family "Bacterial small subunit ribosomal RNA", at positions 903 to 1382 of the family's 1533-position model. Lineage: Bacteria; Pseudomonadati; Bacteroidota; Sphingobacteriia; Sphingobacteriales. The record is from RNAcentral.